This 247-nucleotide ribosomal RNA is filed under the name uncultured bacterium. Its description in RNAcentral is "partial 16S ribosomal RNA". It matches the Rfam family "Bacterial small subunit ribosomal RNA", at positions 333 to 597 of the family's 1533-position model. The record is from RNAcentral.
UAACCUACGGGAGGCAGCAGUGGGGAAUAUUGGGCAAUGGGCGCAAGCCUUACCCAGCAAUACCGCGUGAGUGAAGAAGGUCUUCGGAUUGUAAAGCUCUUUGAUCAGGGACGAACAGAUGACGGUACCUGAAGAACAAGCCCCGGCUAACUACGUGCCAGCAGCCGCGGUAAAACGUAGGGGGCGAGCGUUGUCCGGAAUGACUGGGCGUAAAGGGUGCGUAGGCGGACUUUUAAGUGAGAUGUGA